UUUAAAGAAAUAAAUAAAAUCUUAAAGAAGUAUUAAAAAUAAAAAUUCUAAAUAAGUUCUAAAUAAACUUUAAUAAAAUUUUAAUUUAUUUUUGAUUGAAACUCUAAUAAACCUUAACCAAAUUUUAGGUCAAAUCUCAAUUCAAAUCCUAAUAAAUAUUAAUCAAAUUGUAGAUCAAAUCCUACUGAAAUCCUAAAUCCUACACAAAUUCUAGACAAAUCCUAAAUAAAUCCAAAUCAAAUUCUAGUCAAAUCCUAAUCAAAUCCAAUGAAAACAUUAAAUCUUAACCAAAUCCUAGAAAAAUCCCAAAUUCUUAUUAAAUUCUAAAUCCUAAUUAAAUCCUAGAUAAAUCUUAAUCAAAUCCUAAUUAAAUCCUAAUUAAAUUUUAAAAAAUGCUAAAUCUUAACCAAAUCCUAGGCAUAUCUUAAAUUAUAACCAAAUCUUAAUCAAAUCCUAGACCAUAAAUCAACUCCAAUCAAUUCUUAAUCAAUUCUUAAAUUUUAAAUUAAUCUUAAUAAUCCUAUAACAAAUUGAAAAU
RNAcentral lists this long non-coding RNA (538 nucleotides) under Physcomitrium patens. RNAcentral's name for it is "long non-coding RNA (PPAT_LNC014712)". The record is from RNAcentral. Lineage: Eukaryota; Viridiplantae; Streptophyta; Bryopsida; Funariales; Funariaceae.